GGGUUGUGAGGUUAAGCGACUAAGCGUACACGGUGGAUGCCCUGGCAGUCAGAGGCGAUGAAGGACGUGCUAAUCUGCGAUAAGCGUCGGUGAGGUGAUAUGAACCGUUAUAACCGGCGAUUUCCGAAUGGGGAAACCCAGUGUGUUUCGACACACUAUCAUUAACUGAAUCCAUAGGUUAAUGAGGCGAACCGGGGGAACUGAAACAUCUAAGUACCCCGAGGAAAAGAAAUCAACCGAGAUUCCCCCAGUAGCGGCGAGCGAACGGGGAGGAGCCCAGAGCCUGAAUCAGUGUGUGUGUUAGUGGAAGCGUCUGGAAAGGCGCGCGAUACAGGGUGACAGCCCCGUACACAAAAAUGCACAUACUGUGAGCUCGAUGAGUAGGGCGGGACACGUGGUAUCCUGUCUGAAUAUGGGGGGACCAUCCUCCAAGGCUAAAUACUCCUGACUGACCGAUAGUGAACCAGUACCGUGAGGGAAAGGCGAAAAGAACCCCGGCGAGGGGAGUGAAAAAGAACCUGAAACCGUGUACGUACAAGCAGUGGGAGCCUCUUAAUGGGGUGACUGCGUACCUUUUGUAUAAUGGGUCAGCGACUUAUAUUCUGUAGCAAGGUUAACCGAAUAGGGGAGCCGAAGGGAAACCGAGUCUUAACUGGGCGUUAAGUUGCAGGGUAUAGACCCGAAACCCGGUGAUCUAGCCAUGGGCAGGUUGAAGGUUGGGUAACACUAACUGGAGGACCGAACCGACUAAUGUUGAAAAAUUAGCGGAUGACUUGUGGCUGGGGGUGAAAGGCCAAUCAAACCGGGAGAUAGCUGGUUCUCCCCGAAAGCUAUUUAGGUAGCGCCUCGUGAAUUCAUCUCCGGGGGUAGAGCACUGUUUCGGCAAGGGGGUCAUCCCGACUUACCAACCCGAUGCAAACUGCGAAUACCGGAGAAUGUUAUCACGGGAGACACACGGCGGGUGCUAACGUCCGUCGUGAAGAGGGAAACAACCCAGACCGCCAGCUAAGGUCCCAAAGUCAUGGUUAAGUGGGAAACGAUGUGGGAAGGCCCAGACAGCCAGGAUGUUGGCUUAGAAGCAGCCAUCAUUUAAAGAAAGCGUAAUAGCUCACUGGUCGAGUCGGCCUGCGCGGAAGAUGUAACGGGGCUAAACCAUGCACCGAAGCUGCGGCAGCGACACUAUGUGUUGUUGGGUAGGGGAGCGUUCUGUAAGCCUGUGAAGGUGUGCUGUGAGGCAUGCUGGAGGUAUCAGAAGUGCGAAUGCUGACAUAAGUAACGAUAAAGCGGGUGAAAAGCCCGCUCGCCGGAAGACCAAGGGUUCCUGUCCAACGUUAAUCGGGGCAGGGUGAGUCGACCCCUAAGGCGAGGCCGAAAGGCGUAGUCGAUGGGAAACAGGUUAAUAUUCCUGUACUUGGUGUUACUGCGAAGGGGGGACGGAGAAGGCUAUGUUGGCCGGGCGACGGUUGUCCCGGUUUAAGCGUGUAGGCUGGUUUUCCAGGCAAAUCCGGAAAACCAAGGCUGAGGCGUGAUGACGAGGCACUACGGUGCUGAAGCGACAAAUGCCCUGCUUCCAGGAAAAGCCUCUAAGCAUCAGGUAACAUUAAAUCGUACCCCAAACCGACACAGGUGGUCAGGUAGAGAAUACCAAGGCGCUUGAGAGAACUCGGGUGAAGGAACUAGGCAAAAUGGUGCCGUAACUUCGGGAGAAGGCACGCUGAUAUGUAGGUGAAGCGACUUGCUCGUGGAGCUGAAAUCAGUCGAAGAUACCAGCUGGCUGCAACUGUUUAUUAAAAACACAGCACUGUGCAAACACGAAAGUGGACGUAUACGGUGUGACGCCUGCCCGGUGCCGGAAGGUUAAUUGAUGGGGUUAGCGGUAACGCGAAGCUCUUGAUCGAAGCCCCGGUAAACGGCGGCCGUAACUAUAACGGUCCUAAGGUAGCGAAAUUCCUUGUCGGGUAAGUUCCGACCUGCACGAAUGGCGUAAUGAUGGCCAGGCUGUCUCCACCCGAGACUCAGUGAAAUUGAACUCGCUGUGAAGAUGCAGUGUACCCGCGGCAAGACGGAAAGACCCCGUGAACCUUUACUAUAGCUUGACACUGAACAUUGAGCCUUGAUGUGUAGGAUAGGUGGGAGGCUUUGAAGUGUGGACGCCAGUCUGCAUGGAGCCGACCUUGAAAUACCACCCUUUAAUGUUUGAUGUUCUAACGUUGGCCCGUAAUCCGGGUUGCGGACAGUGUCUGGUGGGUAGUUUGACUGGGGCGGUCUCCUCCUAAAGAGUAACGGAGGAGCACGAAGGUUGGCUAAUCCUGGUCGGACAUCAGGAGGUUAGUGCAAUGGCAUAAGCCAGCUUGACUGCGAGCGUGACGGCGCGAGCAGGUGCGAAAGCAGGUCAUAGUGAUCCGGUGGUUCUGAAUGGAAGGGCCAUCGCUCAACGGAUAAAAGGUACUCCGGGGAUAACAGGCUGAUACCGCCCAAGAGUUCAUAUCGACGGCGGUGUUUGGCACCUCGAUGUCGGCUCAUCACAUCCUGGGGCUGAAGUAGGUCCCAAGGGUAUGGCUGUUCGCCAUUUAAAGUGGUACGCGAGCUGGGUUUAGAACGUCGUGAGACAGUUCGGUCCCUAUCUGCCGUGGGCGCUGGAGAACUGAGGGGGGCUGCUCCUAGUACGAGAGGACCGGAGUGGACGCAUCACUGGUGUUCGGGUUGUCAUGCCAAUGGCACUGCCCGGUAGCUAAAUGCGGAAGAGAUAAGUGCUGAAAGCAUCUAAGCACGAAACUUGCCCCGAGAUGAGUUCUCCCUGACUCCUUGAGGGUCCUGAAGGAACGUUGAAGACGACGACGUUGAUAGGCCGGGUGUGUAAGCGCAGCGAUGCGUUGAGCUAACCGGUACUAAUGAACCGUGAGGCUUAACCUUACAACGCCGAAG
Molecule: ribosomal RNA, 2925 nt
Filed under: Escherichia coli
Lineage: Bacteria; Pseudomonadati; Pseudomonadota; Gammaproteobacteria; Enterobacterales; Enterobacteriaceae
Description: bacterial LSU rRNA
Rfam family: Bacterial large subunit ribosomal RNA
Source: RNAcentral